GCUGUCGUGUGCGUGUGUCCUCGCCCGCUGUUUGGUGCUGGGGGGUGCUGGAGGGGUGCCGGGGGGAGGAUGGCCGUGUGGAAAUCUCUUUUUCUGGGCGAAAUGAGCUGCUGACAUGGGACCUGUGGGGUCUUCCUGCUCAGUGCUGACAUGGCGGAGUGUGUUCUGCCUGCCACCGCCUGGAAUCCCAGCACCCUGGCCCCUGUUCCUUCAGCCCCAGAUCUUGCCUCAGAAUCUGGAGUCACAGAGCAGCAGCCCCAACCACGGACACCACCAUCCUCACCUGCCCAGGAGCCUGGUGCCAGCACUGACCCUGACAUCCCACACCCAGACCUGGCCCCUGUGGUCUUUUUUUGUCUCCGGCAAACCACCAGCCCUCGAAACUGGUGCAUCAAGAUGGUGUGUAAUCCAUAUCCUUUGAGGAUCAUUUCCUCUUGGGCAUUGAUCCACCAACCCACCCUGGGCUUCCUCUAAACAGUUCUCCCUCAAGUCACAAGAUCAAGGUGAAAAGGAAAACCUCCUGCUGGCACUGAGUAUCUGAAAACUUUGCUUCAACACCUGUGUUGGGGAGAGUGGGGUCCAGCUGACCCAGGCAGCCUUGGUGGCGGGGCAGCUUGUAGGUCAAAGCUCACUCUACUGUCAGGAGAAACGAGAAGCUCAGAAGGUUGCAGUUCACUGGACAGUCUGUGAGGUCGAAGCCGAAGAGACUCUGGAGAAGGGACUGAAGCUGUGAGAAUGAGUUAGGGAAAAAGACACCUGCGGUUCUGGUUCUGGGAUCCAAAAGCAUCAGUCUAGGGAUUAAACAUGAGUCAAGCAUUGGCACCUAUAGCUUGGACUUCUGUGUGGGCCUGGGUAGGUCUGGGUUCAUCACUGGGGAGAAGAAGUGGGAGACAGGCUGCAUCAGGACCAGUCUCAGACCUGGCAAAGAGGAAGCCAUGUGCUGGCUCCAGCAGAAGGACCAUGGCAUGCAUCAUUCUCCCUGGCAAAUAAAGUCCUGUUUUCUAUUAAAAGUUCAAUAAAACAAUCAUUGAAGUGUAAAAACAACAAUAAAAACCCCCAGAAUGUCAGGAUUGGGAGGGUCUUUGGAACAGUGACUAUCAGGGCUAGGAGGGCUCUUAGAACAUGGGAUAUCAGGGUGGGGAGGGUUAUUAAAUUAAGGAAUGUUAGACUAAAUCAUUGUCUCAAACCAUAAUUCUUCCUUAGUCUGUAGUUUGUAGCCCUUUACUCUUGUACACGUUAACCACGUAUUUGUUUCUUUUCAUAUAGACUUGUUUGCCCAGUGACUAAUUCCUCAGAACUCAGAGCAGUGAAAUAUAACUGGGGACCCUGACAGCAGCCUGAUGCAGUGGGUAUUUGAAGUCCUUGGGUGGGAUGACUCUUACAACCCUUCCAGUUGUGAGUCUUUGAAUUUCCGGUGGCAGUCUUGGGGGCAGACUUUUUGAUCAUAGAGAACUUUCCUCCUUCAGGAGCAUCCCCCUAUUGUAGCGGUGGGAAGAGCUUUUAGAUUUCUGGGUCCUGAGCAGUGCCUGGGAUCUCUGGAGAUUCUGAAUUAGUCCCCAUCUGGGUUCCUAAAGUUGGGGGGAGAGAGAGAGAGAGAGAGAGAGAGAGAGAGAGAGAGAGAGAGAGAGAGAGAGAGAGAGAGAGAGAGAGAGAGAA
This is a non-coding RNA of Monodelphis domestica (gray short-tailed opossum), 1656 nucleotides long. The record is from RefSeq and is a predicted model, not a curated record. Lineage: Eukaryota; Metazoa; Chordata; Mammalia; Didelphimorphia; Didelphidae.